This 253-nucleotide ribosomal RNA is filed under the name uncultured bacterium. RNAcentral's name for it is "partial 16S ribosomal RNA". It matches the Rfam family "Bacterial small subunit ribosomal RNA", at positions 524 to 776 of the family's 1533-position model. The record is from RNAcentral.
UACGUAGGUGGCAAGCGUUGUCCGGAUUUACUGGGCGUAAAGGAUGCGUAGGCGGACAUUUAAGUCAGAUGUGAAAUACCCGAGCUUAACUUGGGUGCUGCAUUUGAAACUGGGUGUCUAGAGUGCAGGAGAGGUAAGUGGAAUUCCUAGUGUAGCGGUGAAAUGCGUAGAGAUUAGGAAGAACACCAGUGGCGAAGGCGACUUACUGGACUGUAACUGACGCUGAGGCAUGAAAGCAUGGGGAGCGAACAGG